RNAcentral lists this ribosomal RNA (369 nucleotides) under uncultured bacterium. Its description in RNAcentral is "bacterial SSU rRNA". It matches the Rfam family "Bacterial small subunit ribosomal RNA", at positions 527 to 896 of the family's 1533-position model. The record is from RNAcentral.
GUAGGGUGCGAGCGUUAAUCGGAAUUACUGGGCGUAAAGAGUGCGUAGGCGGUUCGCUGUGUCCGAUGUGAAAGCCCCGGGCUCAACCUGGGAAUGGCAUGGGAAACUGGCGGGCUGGAGUGUGGCAGAGGGGGGUGGAAUUCCGCGUGUAGCAGUGAAAUGCGUAGAGAUGCGGAGGAACACCGAUGGCGAAGGCAGCCCCCUGGGCCAACACUGACGCUCAGGCACGAAAGCGUGGGGAGCAAACAGGAUUAGAUACCCUGGUAGUCCACGCCCUAAACCAUGUCGACUGGGUGUCGGGGAAGUGAUUCCUUGGUACCGUAGCUAACGCGUGAAGUCGACCGCCUGGGGAGUACGGCCGCAAGGUUA